RNAcentral lists this ribosomal RNA (492 nucleotides) under uncultured bacterium. RNAcentral's name for it is "partial 16S ribosomal RNA". It matches the Rfam family "Bacterial small subunit ribosomal RNA", at positions 29 to 507 of the family's 1533-position model. The record is from RNAcentral.
AGUGAACGCUGGCGGUAGGCCUAACACAUGCAAGUCGAACGGCAGCACAGUAAGAGCUUGCUCUUACGGGUGGCGAGUGGCGGACGGGUGAGGAAUACAUCGGAAUCUACUUUUUCGUGGGGGAUAACGUAGGGAAACUUACGCUAAUACCGCAUACGACCUACGGGUGAAAGCAGGGGAUCUUCGGACCUUGCGCGUUUGAAUGAGCCGAUGUCGGAUUAGCUAGUUGGCGGGGUAAAGGCCCACCAAGGCGACGAUCCGUAGCUGGUCUGGGUGGAUGAUCAGCCACACUGGAACUGAGACACGGUCCAGACUCCUACGGGAGGCAGCAGUGGGGAAUAUUGGACAAUGGGCGCAAGCCUGAUCCAGCCAUACCGCGUGGGUGAAGAAGGCCUUCGGGUUGUAAAGCCCUUUUGUUGGGAAAGAAAAGCAGCAGGUUAAUACCCCGCUGUUCUGACGGUACCCAAAGAAUAAGCACCGGCUAACUUCGUG